Molecule: ribosomal RNA, 305 nt
Filed under: uncultured bacterium
Lineage: Bacteria
Description: bacterial SSU rRNA
Rfam family: Bacterial small subunit ribosomal RNA
Source: RNAcentral
GAUGAACGCUAGCGGCAGGCCUAACACAUGCAAGUCGAGGGGUAACAGGGAGCUUGCUCCGCUGACGACCGGCGCACGGGUGCGUAACGCGUAUACAAUCUACCUAUCACUGAGGGAUAGCCCGAAGAAAUUUGGAUUAACACCUCAUAGUACCGGCUGACCGCAUGGUCUACUGGUUAAAGGUUACGGUGAUAGAUGAGUAUGCGUCCUAUUAGCUAGAUGGUAAGGUAACGGCUUACCAUGGCUACGAUAGGUAGGGGUCCUGAGAGGGAGAUCCCCCACACUGGUACUGAGACACGGACCAG